CACGUAGGCACCAAGCGUUGUCCGGAUUUAUUGGGCGUAAGGAGCUCGUAGGCGGUUGAGUAAGUCGGGUGUGAAAACUCUGGGCUUAACCCAGAGCCGCCACCCGAUACUGCUCUGACUUGAGUUCGGUAGGGGAGCAGGGAAUUCCUAGUGUAGCGGUGAAAUGCGCAGAUAUUAGGAGGAACACCGGUGGCGAAGGCGCUGCUCUGGGCCGAUACUGACGCUGAGGAGCGAAAGCGUGGGUAGCAAACAGG
This 254-nucleotide ribosomal RNA is filed under the name uncultured bacterium. RNAcentral describes it as "partial 16S ribosomal RNA". It matches the Rfam family "Bacterial small subunit ribosomal RNA", at positions 524 to 776 of the family's 1533-position model. The record is from RNAcentral.